This 700-nucleotide ribosomal RNA is filed under the name uncultured bacterium. Its description in RNAcentral is "bacterial SSU rRNA". It matches the Rfam family "Bacterial small subunit ribosomal RNA", at positions 355 to 1064 of the family's 1533-position model. The record is from RNAcentral.
UGGGGAAUAUUGCACAAUGGGCGGAAGCCUGAUGCAGCAACGCCGCGUGCGGGAUGACGGCCUUCGGGUUGUAAACCUCUUUCGCCUGUGACGAAGCGUGAGUGACGGUAAUGGGUAAAGAAGCACCGGCUAACUACGUGCCAGCAGCCGCGGUGAUACGUAGGGUGCGAGCGUUGUCCGGAUUUAUUGGGCGUAAAGGGCUCGUAGGUGGUUGAUCGCGUCGGAAGUGUAAUCUUGGGGCUUAACCCUGAGCGUGCUUUCGAUACGGGUUGACUUGAGGAAGGUAGGGGAGAAUGGAAUUCCUGGUGGAGCGGUGGAAUGCGCAGAUAUCAGGAGGAACACCAGUGGCGAAGGCGGUUCUCUGGGCCUUUCCUGACGCUGAGGAGCGAAAGCGUGGGGAGCGAACAGGCUUAGAUACCCUGGUAGUCCACGCUGUAAACGGUGGGUACUAGGUGUGGGGUCCAUUCCACGGGUUCCGCGCCGUAGCUAACGCUUUAAGUACCCCGCCUGGGGAGUACGGCCGCAAGGCUAAAACUCAAAGGAAUUGACGGGGCCCCGCACAAGCGGCGGAGCAUGCGGAUUAAUUCGAUGCAACGCGUAGAACCUUACCUGGGUUUGACAUGGAUCGGGAGUGCUCAGAGAUGGGUGUGCCUCUUUUGGGGUCGGUUCACAGGUGGUGCAUGGUUGUCGUCAGCUCGUG